UAGGGAAUAUUGCAAAAUGGGCGAAAGCCCGAUGCAGCAACGCCGCGUGGGCGAUGAAGGCCUUCGGGUCGUAAAGCCCUUUUUGAGGGGAUGAGGAAGGACAGUACCCUCAGAAUAAGCCUCGGCUAACUACGUGCCAGCAGCCGCGGUAAAACGUAGGAGGCGAGCGUUAUCCGGCUUUACUGGGCGUAAAGCGCGUGCAGGCGGAUUGGAGAGUUGGAUGUGAAAGCUCCCGGCUUAACUGGGAGAGGUCGUUCAAUACUUCCAGUCUUGAGUGCAGUAGAGGGAAGUGGAAUUCCGGGUGUAGUGGUGAAAUGCGUAGAUAUCCGGAGGAACACCAGUGGCGAAAGCGGCUUCCUGGACUGUAACUGACGCUCAGACGCGAAAGCUAGGGUAGCAAACG
RNAcentral lists this ribosomal RNA (403 nucleotides) under uncultured bacterium. RNAcentral's name for it is "bacterial SSU rRNA". It matches the Rfam family "Bacterial small subunit ribosomal RNA", at positions 355 to 774 of the family's 1533-position model. The record is from RNAcentral.